AGUACUGUGAAGGAAAGGUGAAAAGAACCCCGGGAGGGGAGUGAAAGAGAACCUGAAACCUUGUGCUUACAAACAGUCAAAGGCCUACGGGCUGAUGGCGUACUUUUUGUAGAACGGUCCGGCGAGUUACUAAUGCCAGCGAGGUUAAGAUGUCAGAAGCAUCGGAGCCGAAGGGAAACCAAGUCUGAAUAGGGCGUAGAGUUGGUAUUAGUAGACCCGAAACCGGGUGACCUAUCCAUGUCCAGGUUGAAGGAACCGUAAAAGGUUUUGGAGGACCGAACACACAUGUGUUGAAAAACGUGGUGAUGAGGUGUGGAUAGCGGAGAAAUUCCAAUCGAACUCGGAGAUAGCUGGUUCUCCUCGAAAUAGCUUUAGGGCUAGCCUCGAGCUGGAGUCUAACGGAGGUAAAGCACUGAACUGACGCGGGGCCCAAAAAGGUUACCAACUCAUAUCAAACUAAGAAUGCCGUCAAGAUACCCUCGGGAGUCAGUCUGCGUGAGAUAAGUCGCGUGGACAAAAGGGAAAGAGCCCAGACCGACAGCUAAGGUCCCAAAGUACGUGUUAAGUGGAAAAGGAUGUGGGAUUUCAUAGACAACUAGGAUGUUGGCUUAGAAGCAGCCAUACAUUUAAAGAGUGCGUAAUAGCUCACUAGUCGAGAAAACCUGCGCCGAAAAUGUAACGGGGCUAAAACACGACACCGAAGCUACGGAUUUCCUACAAGGUAGGAAGUGGUAGAGGAGCAUCCUGCAAGGACGAAGCCAAAGUGAGAGCGAUGGUGGACGAAACAGGAGAGAGAAUGCCGGAAUGAGUAGCGAGAUACAUGUGAGAAACAUGUAGGCCGAAUAUCUAAGGAUUCCUGGGUAAAGCUAAUCUUCCCAGGGUUAGUCGGGGCCUAAGGCGAGGACGAAAGUCGUAGUCGAUGGAUAACAGGUUGAUAUUCCUGUACUACACAUAAUCAGAACUGUGGGGACGCAGGAGGAUAGGGAAACCGGGGAAUGGAGAGACCCGGUCAAGCGUAAAGCUGUGGGAGAUAGGCAAAUCCGUCUCUUGUAAGUGAAACGUGAUGAGGACUGAAAAAAAGUAAGGAAGUUUCCGAAUCCACACUGCCGAGAAAAGCCGCUAUUGCGUUAUGUGUACCCGUACCGUAAACCGACACAGGUAGAUGAGGAGAAAAUCCACAGGCCGACGGGAGAAGUGUUGUUAAGGAACUCGGCAAAAUGACCCCGUAACUUCGGGAUAAGGGGAGCCUCGCAAGAGGCCGCAGAAAAGAGGCACAAGCAACUGUUUAGCAAAAACAUAGGUCUAUGCGAAACCGUAAGGUGAAGUAUAUGGGCUGACGCCUGCCCGGUGCUGGAAGGUUAAGAGGAGAGGUUAGCGCAAGCGAAGCUUUGAAUUUAAGCCCCAGUAAACGGCGGCCGUAACUAUAACGGUCCUAAGGUAGCGAAAUUCCUUGUCAGGUAAGUUCUGACCCGCACGAAAGGCGUAAUGAUUUGUGCACUGUCUCGACAACACGCCCGGUGAAAUUGAAGAACCAGUGAAGAUACUGGUUACCCGCAACAGGACGGAAAGACCCCAUGGAGCUUUACUGCAGCCUGAUACUGGGAUUCGAUGAUAUAUGUACAGGAUAGGUGGGAGGCUAAGAAGCGAGAACGCUAGUUUUCGUGGAGCCGCCGGUGGGAUACCACUCUUAUGUCAUUGAAUUUCUAACCUGCAUCCGUAAUCCGGGUGAGGGACAAUGUCAGGCGGGCAGUUUGACUGGGGCGGUCGCCUCCUAAAAGGUAACGGAGGCGCUCGAAGGUCACCUCAGAAUGAUUGGAAACCAUUCAAAGAGUGUAAAGGCAAAAGGUGGCUUGACUGCGAGAGCGACGGCUCGAGCAGGUACGAAAGUAGGACUUAGUGAUCCGGUGGUAAUAAGUGGGAAUGCCAUCGCUCAACGGAUAAAAGCUACCCUGGGGAUAACAGGCUUAUCUCCCCCAAGAGUUCACAUCGACGGGGAGGUUUGGCACCUCGAUGUCGGCUCAUCGCAUCCUGGGGCUGAAGUAGGUCCCAAGGGUUGGGCUGUUCGCCCAUUAAAGCGGUACGCGAGCUGGGUU
RNAcentral lists this ribosomal RNA (2093 nucleotides) under human gut metagenome. RNAcentral's name for it is "bacterial LSU rRNA". It matches the Rfam family "Bacterial large subunit ribosomal RNA", at positions 497 to 2611 of the family's 2925-position model. The record is from RNAcentral.